UACGAGGGGAGCAAGCGUUGUUCGGAUUUACUGGGCGUAAAGGGCGCGUAGGCGGCCACGACAAGUCACUUGUGAAAUCUCCGGGCUUAACUCGGAACGGUCAAGUGAUACUGUCGGGCUAGAGUACAGAAGGGGCAACUGGAAUUCUCGGUGUAGCGGUGAAAUGCGUAGAUAUCGAGAGGAACACCUGCGGCGAAGGCGGGUUGCUGGGCUGAUACUGACGCUGAUGCGCGAAAGCCAGGGGAGCGAACGGG
This 254-nucleotide ribosomal RNA is filed under the name uncultured bacterium. Its description in RNAcentral is "partial 16S ribosomal RNA". It matches the Rfam family "Bacterial small subunit ribosomal RNA", at positions 524 to 776 of the family's 1533-position model. The record is from RNAcentral. RNAcentral also lists the same sequence under 2 other names.